CCAGACUCCUACGGGAGGCAGCAGUGGGGGAUAUUGCACAAUGGGGGGAACCCUGAUGCAGCGACGCCGCGUGGGUGAAGAAGCGCCUCGGCGCGUAAAGCCCUGUCAGCAGGGAAGAAAAUGACGGUACCUGAAGAAGAAGCCCCGGCUAACUACGUGCCAGCAGCCGCGGUAAUACGUAGGGGGCAAGCGUUAUCCGGAUUUACUGGGUGUAAAGGGGGCGCAGACGGCGAUGCAAGCCAGGAGUGAAAGCCCGGGGCCCAACCCCGGGACUGCUCUUGGAACUGCGUGGCUGGAGUGCGGGAGGGGCAGGCGGAAUUCCUGGUGUAGCGGUGAAAUGCGUAGAUAUCAGGAGGAACACCGGUGGCGAAGGCGGCCUGCUGGACUGCAACUGACGUUGAGGCCCGAAAGCGUGGGGAGCAAACAGGAUUAGAUACCCUCGUAGGC
Molecule: ribosomal RNA, 447 nt
Filed under: uncultured bacterium
Lineage: Bacteria
Description: partial 16S ribosomal RNA
Rfam family: Bacterial small subunit ribosomal RNA
Source: RNAcentral